Molecule: ribosomal RNA, 515 nt
Filed under: uncultured bacterium
Lineage: Bacteria
Description: partial 16S ribosomal RNA
Rfam family: Bacterial small subunit ribosomal RNA
Source: RNAcentral
GAUGAACGCUGGCGGCGUGCCUAAUACAUGCAAGUCGAGCGAAUGGAUUAAGAGCUUGCUCUUAUGAAGUUAGCGGCGGACGGGUGAGUAACACGUGGGUAACCUGCCCAUAAGACUGGGAUAACUCCGGGAAACCGGGGCUAAUACCGGAUAACAUUUUGAACCGCAUGGUUCGAAAUUGAAAGGCGGCUUCGGCUGUCACUUAUGGAUGGACCCGCGUCGCAUUAGCUAGUUGGUGAGGUAACAGCUCACCAAGGCAACGAUGCGUAGCCGACCUGAGAGGGUGGGCGGCCACGCUGGGACUGAGACCCGGCCCAGACCCCUACGGGAGGCAGCAGUAGGGAAUCGUCCGCAAUGGACGAAAGUCUGACGGAGCAACGCCGCGUGAGUGAUGAAGGCUUUCGGGUCGUAAAACUCUGUUGUUAGGGAAGAACAAGUGCUAGUUGAAUAAGCUGGCACCUUGACGGUACCUAACCAGAAAGCCACGGCUAACUACGUGCCAGCCGCCGCCGUAA